Papaver somniferum (opium poppy) is the source of this 290-nucleotide long non-coding RNA. RefSeq lists it as uncharacterized. The transcript has 3 exons. The record is from RefSeq and is a predicted model, not a curated record. NCBI's taxonomy places the organism in Eukaryota, Viridiplantae, Streptophyta, Magnoliopsida, Ranunculales, Papaveraceae.
AGCGGCUUAAAGGAUUCACUGCAAUCACCGCCAAAGAUUGAGACCAAUUGAGAGCAAUUGCCUGACAAGUAAAAUCAAGGUACAUUAUCAAAGGCAGGAGCCGCAGGACUGCAUCAAUUGCACAAGGAAGUGCCAACUUUGUCAGUGAUGGAAAUAUGGCGUCAUUUCACUCGGAGAAAUGUUGAAGAACCCUCUUGCAAUUACUGUGGAAGGACUUAUAGGGCUAACAUGUCCAGAAAUGGAACUUCUGCCUUGUGGAAUGCUUAGAAGUUGCAAUAAUGCUUAGAAGU